AUUUUAUUGGGUCUAUUAGAAAUUUUCCAAGAACUAGCCCGACCUACAAUCAUGACAAAUGGAGACAUUUAAAUUAGAGAGGACUUAGUUUUAAAAAUAUGAGUUAAUAUUGUUUCUUUGAAAUCCAAAACCAGCCGAAAUGGCAACUUUAACAUGAGAAUAGAACUCCAUAAAUAGUAACUAUUGGUAUUGUUCACGUCAUUGUAUAAGGGAACUGUUCAUCCAAUACUAUUUAUGAUACUAUUCACGGCAUUGUUCAUCCGCAACAAUCAUAAAUUCAUCAAGGUAUGCACAUUGCACUCUCCUUAAGACCAAUUUUUGCUUCUUUAGGAAGAUUUCCUGAUGCAAUAAGAAUAUAAAUAAUGCGGAUCAAUCUCUAAGAUUCAAUGACGUCAUUGUUAUGAGGUUGCACUCCAAACAACAAUGUAAAAAAGUAAAAGAAAAAUUAUAAAGAAAACAUGAGAGAGGAGGAGAAGUCAUAGAGGUUGUUGUGCCUUGAAAGCCUUUUAUGAAAUCAUCUAUAAUCAUUUUCUUAAAUUCAAUUCGAAUUAGUCACCCACUUUCUCCUUAUUUAAUUUGAAUUAGUUAUCCAUAUAUCUGGCAAUUUAAUUCAAAUAAUAUAAUCCAAAUCACAUCUCGAUAUGACUGAAUUCUAUUUCAAAUCAAAUACAAAAGUGUUUGCUCUUACUUUCCUCUGAUGUGGGAAAUUAGUAUUUUGAAUUGAGUAAUGAUACAGCCACAAACUCUUGUACAAACUUAUUUUGUACAAACUGACGUGGCAUUAAUUCAUUGGUUGAAUGAAAAUAUAAAUUAAUAAAAACAAAUCAUGUGGGCCAAGUGAUAUUUAAUUCAACCAAUCUUAUCAUGCCACAUCAGUUUGUACAAAAUAAGUUUGUACAAGAGUUUGUGGCUGUAUCAUUACUCUUUUGAAUUACUAAUAAAAUUCCAACACUUAAUUCAAAAUUUUAUAAUUUAAUUUGGAGUACUUAAUUUGUUUCACUGUUCACUUGACUAUAUUUAAAGUCUCAAAAACUUAAAUUAUAUAUUAUUUUUAAAUUUUAAAAAAUAAUAAUAAAUAUUUAUUUUCAAUAUUGAAACUUUUAAAUUUUUUAAAAAUAAUAAUAAAUUAUUUAUUUUAAACACUAAAACUCAUUGUGGCUACAUUUGUAAAGUUUCUUUUCAACUGGAUACGCCCAUGCGCAGUGUACAUUGAAUCAACCAUAACCAAUGUCAUUGAUCUGAGGGUUUGCUUAUAAUACAGCCGUUGUGUCUCAGAUAGUCACUUAUUAUUAUUAUUAUUAUUAUUUUGUCUGAACCACGAGGUGGUCUGAUACUCCAUAUUAGAUGUUUUAUUAUCAGAAUGUAUAUACAGCCUAUUUAUAUAUGACAUUAUUUUUAAAUUUAAUAAGCCUUGUAUUACUUAUAACAACAACAACAAUAAUAAUAGGUAAAGGGAAUUUUUAACUCUUAUCUCCUAUAUGAGUAUUGUUGGUUUAAAAACAUUUUGCAUAGAAAACUUUGAACCGCAGUUCUCAUGCAACAUAUAGAAUUAACAUAGUCUAGAAAUUAUACGUUUGUUUUUUCAUAGAAGUAAUUUAGGCUGCCAAUUCAUGAUCUGCCACUACCAAUUUUGUUAGAUCACGAUCUGUCACCAACGAUCUUAUUGGAUCACGAUUUGUCAUCAACGAUCUUUUAUGUUAUGAUUCAAGUUCGGCCUGCACUUGACAUGUGGGUGCCAUUAAUUAAGUAGUUUACAAUUUGAUUUUGGGUAAAUAACUUGUUGUUUUGAAAUUAAAGUUCAAGGAAAGAACUAUUGCUAUUUCGUUAUCAAUGGGCUACAUAUGUUGCCAAGUUGAUUAUAGCCUAUAAUCACGAGGUAAUAUAUGAGUAGUUUAUUAUUAUUCAAUACACAAAAAGCUAGUGGGUAAUGAACAUGGGUAACUUGAAAUUGUAAAUACCCAAAACACUAGAAAUGUAUCACAUCAAAAAUUGUAGAACAAACAGAUUUAAUUAGAAUAAAACAUUUGGCAGAAACAAAUUGUAUCAUAUUGUCAGUUAUGAAAAAUUCUGAGUUAACCAACAAAAGCCAGGGAUAUGAGUAAAUAAGAAAUUAUAGCGUGACCACCUACCUCCUUACGCCUCUAAAAAGAAGCAAAUGUUCUUCCUCCACAAGGAUCAUGUAGAAACUGAAGGGCACUUAGUUGCUCAAACACCUGCAGUUUCUACCCAAGAUCCAAGAUCAGAUUCCUAGAUGCUUUUUGUAGGUGACUCGAAAAAGGUU
RNAcentral lists this long non-coding RNA (2281 nucleotides) under Citrus x clementina. RNAcentral describes it as "Citrus clementina (C. clementina) long non-coding RNA (CCLE_LNC000325)". Lineage: Eukaryota; Viridiplantae; Streptophyta; Magnoliopsida; Sapindales; Rutaceae. The record is from RNAcentral.